RNAcentral lists this long non-coding RNA (966 nucleotides) under Triticum aestivum (bread wheat). RNAcentral describes it as "long non-coding RNA (TAES_LNC012110)". Lineage: Eukaryota; Viridiplantae; Streptophyta; Magnoliopsida; Poales; Poaceae. The record is from RNAcentral.
GUCUAUUCUGCGUCAAAGGUCCCGUUCAUCUCAGGCAAAUUGCGUUGCAGCCUCAAUUGUACAUGUGCUUCAAUCUAUUUUCAUGUUGUUUUCUUGGGCCUAGUGUUUUGCUUCUUGGGUGUUUGACAAACGCUUCACAAAUUAAGCUCCUCUUAACAAUUUCAUAGGUGUCGGUUGGCCUGCAGCUCGUGUGGUCGGAGGUGCUCGUGUGGGCGGAGGUGCUUGUGCGGGAUGAAACUUUGGACGAUCUAUGUUCAUGUCAUUACUGUUUAUAAAUAUCUUCUGUUGUUCUAGAUGAUAGUCUUGACUUUUCCGGUGUUCAUGGCGGUAACUAAGGUAUAUCUAUGUUGUAGUCGACAAGGAGGCCUACCUAUGAUGCCCGUGCAGUUGAAAAUGUUUGCAAGGCAGCCUAUGAUGUCUGGUUGGAGGCCUACUUAUGAUGUCAGAUUGUUGUACACGGAAAUUUUGCGGGAUAGUUUGCAAAUUGGGAGUUUAUGUUUUUCUUAGUUAGCUUUUAAGAUUGUUGUAGUUAAAACAUGAGAUGGAAGCCUCAUAUUGAAUACUUAGCUAUGUUACAAAUUUAUAGUAGUGGCUAUCUUCUACAUCAGCCUGUGUUCAAAUAGUCUAUUUUGUAUGUUUGUUCACAGAAGUUGAUUAUCCUAGCAUACAACUACCCUCCGGUCGUGAAGCCUUAGAUUGAAUACAAAGCUAUGUUGCCAAUGAUCUCAUAACCUUGCCUGUCACAUUGCACCUAUGAUAUGAGGAGUACGACAAAUUUUACAAAUAGAACAUAUAUAAUUUGUGGUAGCAGAAUUACAUUUAGUACUGAAUAUUUGAUUAAUAAUCCUUACUCCGUAUGGAGCAAAGUCUACAACCUUUAUAUCUAAAGCAGUUUAACUUUGAUACUAGACAGUGGGUAUGCUAAGCUUUGCCACUUUCUGAAGUGUGUUGAAAUAGGAGUUCCAG